GAUGAACGCUGGCGGCGUGCUUAACACAUGCAAGUCGAACGAAGCACUUUAUUUGAUUUCCUUCGGUACUGAUUCUUUUGUGACUGUGUGGCGGACGGAUGCUUAACGCGUGGUUAACCUGCCUUGUACAGGGUGAUACCAGUUGGAAACGGCUGCUCCUACUGCAUAAGCGCACAGCAUCGCAUGAUGCAGUUUGAAAAACUCCGGUGGUAUAAGAUGGACCCGCGUUGGAUUAGCUAGUUGGUGAGGUAACGGCAAACCAAGGCGACGAUGCAUAGCAGAACGGGUAAGGGGACCGGCCACAUUGGGAAUGAGACACGGACCAAACUGCGACGGGAGGGAGCAGUGGGGAAUAUUGCAGAAUGAGCGAAAGCCUAAUGAAGCGACGCGGCGUGAGAGAAGAAGUAUUUCGGUAUGUAAAGCUCUAUCAGAAGGGAAGAGAAUGACGUUACCUGACUAAGAAGCACCGGCUAAAUACGUG
Molecule: ribosomal RNA, 481 nt
Filed under: uncultured bacterium
Lineage: Bacteria
Description: partial 16S ribosomal RNA
Rfam family: Bacterial small subunit ribosomal RNA
Source: RNAcentral